UUAAGCGACUAAGCGUACACGGUGGAUGCCCUGGCAGUCAGAGGCGAUGAAGGACGUGCUAAUCUGCGAUAAGCGUCGGUGAGGUGAUAUGAACCGUUAUAACCGGCGAUUUCCGAAUGGGGAAACCCAGUGUGUUUCGACACACUAUCAUUAACUGAAUCCAUAGGUUAAUGAGGCGAACCGGGGGAACUGAAACAUCUAAGUACCCCGAGGAAAAGAAAUCAACCGAGAUUCCCCCAGUAGCGGCGAGCGAACGGGGGAGGAGCCCAGAGCCUGAAUCAGUGUGUGUGUUAGUGGAAGCGUCUGGAAAGGCGCGCGAUACAGGGUGACAGCCCCGUACACAAAAAUGCACAUGCUGUGAGCUCGAUGAGUAGGGCGGGACACGUGGUAUCCUGUCUGAAUAUGGGGGGGACCAUCCUCCAAGGCUAAAUACUCCUGACUGACCGAUAGUGAACCAGUACCGUGAGGGAAAGGCGAAAAGAACCCCGGCGAGGGGAGUGAAAAAGAACCUGAAACCGUGUACGUACAAGCAGUGGGAGCCUCUUUAUGGGGUGACUGCGUACCUUUUGUAUAAUGGGUCAGCGACUUAUAUUCUGUAGCAAGGUUAACCGAAUAGGGGAGCCGAAGGGAAACCGAGUCUUAACUGGGCGUUAAGUUGCAGGGUAUAGACCCGAAACCCGGUGAUCUAGCCAUGGGCAGGUUGAAGGUUGGGUAACACUAACUGGAGGACCGAACCGACUAAUGUUGAAAAAUUAGCGGAUGACUUGUGGCUGGGGGUGAAAGGCCAAUCAAACCGGGAGAUAGCUGGUUCUCCCCGAAAGCUAUUUAGGUAGCGCCUCGUGAAUUCAUCUCCGGGGGUAGAGCACUGUUUCGGCAAGGGGGUCAUCCCGACUUACCAACCCGAUGCAAACUGCGAAUACCGGAGAAUGUUAUCACGGGAGACACACGGCGGGUGCUAACGUCCGUCGUGAAGAGGGAAACAACCCAGACCGCCAGCUAAGGUCCCAAAGUCAUGGUUAAGUGGGAAACGAUGUGGGAAGGCCCAGACAGCCAGGAUGUUGGCUUAGAAGCAGCCAUCAUUUAAAGAAAGCGUAAUAGCUCACUGGUCGAGUCGGCCUGCGCGGAAGAUGUAACGGGGCUAAACCAUGCACCGAAGCUGCGGCAGCGACACUAUGUGUUGUUGGGUAGGGGAGCGUUCUGUAAGCCUGUGAAGGUGUACUGUGAGGUAUGCUGGAGGUAUCAGAAGUGCGAAUGCUGACAUAAGUAACGAUAAAGCGGGUGAAAAGCCCGCUCGCCGGAAGACCAAGGGUUCCUGUCCAACGUUAAUCGGGGCAGGGUGAGUCGACCCCUAAGGCGAGGCCGAAAGGCGUAGUCGAUGGGAAACAGGUUAAUAUUCCUGUACUUGGUGUUACUGCGAAGGGGGGACGGAGAAGGCUAUGUUGGCCGGGCGACGGUUGUCCCGGUUUAAGCGUGUAGGCUGGUUUUCCAGGCAAAUCCGGAAAAUCAAGGCUGAGGCGUGAUGACGAGGCACUACGGUGCUGAAGCAACAAAUGCCCUGCUUCCAGGAAAAGCCUCUAAGCAUCAGGUAACAUCAAAUCGUACCCCAAACCGACACAGGUGGUCAGGUAGAGAAUACCAAGGCGCUUGAGAGAACUCGGGUGAAGGAACUAGGCAAAAUGGUGCCGUAACUUCGGGAGAAGGCACGCUGAUAUGUAGGUGAAGCGACUUGCUCGUGGAGCUGAAAUCAGUCGAAGAUACCAGCUGGCUGCAACUGUUUAUUAAAAACACAGCACUGUGCAAACACGAAAGUGGACGUAUACGGUGUGACGCCUGCCCGGUGCCGGAAGGUUAAUUGAUGGGGUUAGCGGUAACGCGAAGCUCUUGAUCGAAGCCCCGGUAAACGGCGGCCGUAACUAUAACGGUCCUAAGGUAGCGAAAUUCCUUGUCGGGUAAGUUCCGACCUGCACGAAUGGCGUAAUGAUGGCCAGGCUGUCUCCACCCGAGACUCAGUGAAAUUGAACUCGCUGUGAAGAUGCAGUGUACCCGCGGCAAGACGGAAAGACCCCGUGAACCUUUACUAUAGCUUGACACUGAACAUUGAGCCUUGAUGUGUAGGAUAGGUGGGAGGCUUUGAAGUGUGGACGCCAGUCUGCAUGGAGCCGGCCUUGAAAUACCACCCUUUAAUGUUUGAUGUUCUAACGUUGGCCCCUGAUCGGGGUUGCGGACAGUGUCUGGUGGGUAGUUUGACUGGGGCGGUCUCCUCCUAAAGAGUAACGGAGGAGCACGAAGGUUGGCUAAUCCUGGUCGGACAUCAGGAGGUUAGUGCAAUGGCAUAAGCCAGCUUGACUGCGAGCGUGACGGCGCGAGCAGGUGCGAAAGCAGGUCAUAGUGAUCCGGUGGUUCUGAAUGGAAGGGCCAUCGCUCAACGGAUAAAAGGUACUCCGGGGAUAACAGGCUGAUACCGCCCAAGAGUUCAUAUCGACGGCGGUGUUUGGCACCUCGAUGUCGGCUCAUCACAUCCUGGGGCUGAAGUAGGUCCCAAGGGUAUGGCUGUUCGCCAUUUAAAGUGGUACGCGAGCUGGGUUUAGAACGUCGUGAGACAGUUCGGUCCCUAUCUGCCGUGGGCGCUGGAGAACUGAGGGGGGCUGCUCCUAGUACGAGAGGACCGGAGUGGACGCAUCACUGGUGUUCGGGUUGUCAUGCCAAUGGCACUGCCCGGUAGCUAAAUGCGGAAGAGAUAAGUGCUGAAAGCAUCUAAGCACGAAACUUGCCCCGAGAUGAGUUCUCCCUGAGACUUAGAGUCUCCUGAAGGAACGUUGAAGACGACGACGUUGAUAGGCCGGGUGUGUAAGCGCAGCGAUGCGUUGAGCUAACCGGUACUAAUGAACCGUGAGGCUUAACCUU
RNAcentral lists this ribosomal RNA (2904 nucleotides) under Escherichia coli. Its description in RNAcentral is "bacterial LSU rRNA". It matches the Rfam family "Bacterial large subunit ribosomal RNA". Lineage: Bacteria; Pseudomonadati; Pseudomonadota; Gammaproteobacteria; Enterobacterales; Enterobacteriaceae. The record is from RNAcentral.